GAGUUUGAUCCUGGCUCAGAUUGAACGCUGGCGGCAUGCCUUACACAUGCAAGUCGAACGGCAGCACGGGAGCUUGCUCCUGGUGGCGAGUGGCGAACGGGUGAGUAAUGCAUCGGAACGUAUCCUGGAGGUGGGGGAUAACGUAGCGAAAGUUACGCUAAUACCGCAUAUUCUGUGAGCAGGAAAGCGGGGGACCUUCGGGCCUCGCGCUCUUGGAGCGGCCGAUGUCGGAUUAGCUAGUUGGUGAGGUAAAGGCUCACCAAGGCGACGAUCCGUAGCAGGUCUGAGAGGAUGAUCUGCCACACUGGAACUGAGACACGGUCCAGACUCCGUACGGGAGGCAGCA
This 346-nucleotide ribosomal RNA is filed under the name bacterium enrichment culture clone ALO1_GLFRUDD03G2IGJ. RNAcentral's name for it is "bacterial SSU rRNA". It matches the Rfam family "Bacterial small subunit ribosomal RNA", at positions 9 to 353 of the family's 1533-position model. The record is from RNAcentral.